UGUUGAAAGUGUGCAGGAAAGAGAACUUGUCCUUCUUGUGCACAGCCCUCUGCAUCUGAAGAGCUGAGCUGAGGAGCCUCCUUCACAGCUGGACCCGAUUUAGAUGUUAAUAUCCUGGACUUCAAACCAACGCCUUAAUGGAAUUAGACUUUGGGGGAAGGUGCGAGCGUAUUUUACAUGUGGGAGAGAAGUGACUGUGGUAGAUUGUCUCCAAACAUGGCUUUCAUCAAUUCCUUCCCUCCCUGGACACACACACCCUUCCUCUAUCAAGAGUGAUGAUGAACGGCAGCCAUCCCUGGAAAGGCAUAUUCACAGCCGAGUGAACGCGCAGAGUGUCGUUACAGUGUCUCCUCUUCCCUACCUGUGUCACAUGGCCUCCUCCACUGCGGUCUCAAGGGCGUGUUUGGAGGAGAACCUGAGGUUUUACUCGGAGAUAAAAGGAAGUCUCUAUUUGGAUGGAUUAAGGAAUUGGAGCUUGGUGGUCCUAACCUCCGUCGGGUGAGUUCUCCCUUCUUUCCUUCCUUCGUGCAAUGCAGGUGUUACAAAUAGCUAAGUCUUGUUCUUAAGUGCAGAGUCUGGGAUCAUAGUUCCACAACAGUUUACUACCAGCUGGCUGUAUAGAUCUCAAACUUUCCCCCUGACUAGUCCUUAUAUCCCUGCAUUGUCCCU
Molecule: non-coding RNA, 669 nt
Organism: Equus caballus (horse)
Lineage: Eukaryota; Metazoa; Chordata; Mammalia; Perissodactyla; Equidae
Source: RefSeq, a predicted model, not a curated record